GUCCCUGAACUGAGCCAGCAUUAGGCCACAGAGCCUGCUGGGGGAACAUCUUCUCAGCAUGAUAGCUCCAGCUCCUGAUUGCCAGCACAGAGAGUACAGCCCACAGCAGUCUGGCCUUGAGAGUCACAAAGGAAGAAGCUCCAGACAGCAGGACAACAGCCAGGUUCUUGAGAUGCUGGGCUUGUACACCCCCUUCUUUACUCACUACACAAGGAUGGCUAGAGCAUAUAGACAGACUGAAA
Molecule: long non-coding RNA, 242 nt
Organism: Alligator sinensis (Chinese alligator)
Lineage: Eukaryota; Metazoa; Chordata; Crocodylia; Alligatoridae
Exons: 2
Source: RefSeq, a predicted model, not a curated record